RNAcentral lists this long non-coding RNA (1031 nucleotides) under Physcomitrium patens. Its description in RNAcentral is "long non-coding RNA (PPAT_LNC008623)". Lineage: Eukaryota; Viridiplantae; Streptophyta; Bryopsida; Funariales; Funariaceae. The record is from RNAcentral.
GUCCAUGAAUUGGGAGGGUAUAAUGAAGAUCUUUGAAACUAAUUGAGGAAGGAGUUGAUGGAUGGAUUAGAAGAAGAAGAAGAUUUGAAUUUAGAACUAGAACUUGUGGAAUCCACAUUAGAUAAUGUAACAAAUGAUUAAUUGGGUGGGCCAGAGAAAAUAGUAAUUUUGUAGAGUUUUGUUAAAUAGUUUUUAAAUAGGUAAUAAUUGUGUAUUUACAAAGACACUGCACAAAUAGAAGUGGGGCUAUGUAGAAUAGAUAUUAGUUUGUUUCUGUAAGAUACUAGUAAAAUAGACUAAUAGUCUAUAGAAUAGUCAGUUCAAGAAGACAAAUGAUUAACUUAGUUAUUAAAAGCGAUUAAUUAUAGGAUUACGGUUAGAAUCUGGGAAUAUGGAGUAAGCAUAUAGGAGUUGUAGAAGUUAGUCUGAGUGCCAGACUGUAAUAGUCAUGAGCCGGGAUUAAGCUUGGUGCUACCUCUUUGUUUUUCUUUAUUGUUGAAAAAUAAUGGAUAGUUUCUAAAUAUUGAGAAGUGAGUCCGUAGAAUAAACCAGAGAUUGAUUUAUGAGUUAUUGAUUAUGUAAUUUGAACACUGAGUAAUUGAAUUAUAUGAAGAGUUAUUGGAAGAUUAUGAUUGUUAUUUAUUGAAAGCUGUGUGUGUUUGGACAGAGGAAGUAUGUGAUUACAAAAAUUAUGUGAAUCCAGAUUGAUUGGAGUGAAGUCUAUUAUGUUUAGAGUUGGAUGGAAAUUAUGUGAUUUGAACAGUCUUUUGAGAAUGCAGGGUUGCACAUUAUUAUUAUCAGUUGAUGAAAGAAUAUUGUUAUUAGGAGAAAGCAUUGUAAUGUUUCUUGGUAUUUUAGUGGUUUGGAAUAUGGUUAAUUGUGUGACCCUAACAAAUAAAACUCAUACACUUAGUCUUUCCUUGUGUUUGAAUUCUCCUAUAUAGGUUUAUUCUAAAAAGAAUUGUAGAAUAAGUAAAACGAUAAUCAGAAUAUUUAAUAUUUCUCAAGAUAAAUAAAAGAGAGAAUUGAAA